GUGCCAGCCGCCGCGGUAAUACGUAGGGGGCAAGCGUUGUCCGGAAUUAUUGGGCGUAAAGGGCACGCAGGCGGUUUCUUAAGUCCGAUGUGAAAUCUUGCGGCUCAACCGCAAGCUGCCAUUGGAAACUGGGAACUUGAGUACAGAAGAGGAGAGUGGAAUUCCACGUGUAGCGGUGAAAUGCGUAGAGAUGUGGAGGAACACCAGUGGCGAAGGCGACUCUCUGGUCUGUAACUGACGCUGAGGUGCGAAAGCGUGGGUAGCAAACAGGAUUAGAAACCCGGGUAGUCC
Molecule: ribosomal RNA, 291 nt
Filed under: uncultured prokaryote
Description: partial 16S ribosomal RNA
Rfam family: Bacterial small subunit ribosomal RNA
Source: RNAcentral